RNAcentral lists this ribosomal RNA (433 nucleotides) under uncultured bacterium. Its description in RNAcentral is "partial 16S ribosomal RNA". It matches the Rfam family "Bacterial small subunit ribosomal RNA", at positions 29 to 507 of the family's 1533-position model. The record is from RNAcentral.
AACGAACGCUGGCGGCAGGCCUAACACAUGCAAGUCGAGCGAGGACUUCGGUCCUAGCGGCGGACGGGUGAGUAACGCGUGGGAACGUGCCCUUUGCUUCGGAAUAGCCCUGGGAAACUGGGAGUAAUACCGGAUGAGCCCUUUGGGGGAAAGAUUUAUCGGCGAAGGAUCGGCCCGCGUUGGAUUAGGUAGUUGGUGGGGUAAUGGCCUACCAAGCCGACGAUCCAUGGCUGGUUUGAGAGGAUGAUCAGCCACACUGGGACUGAGACACGGCCCAGACUCCUACGGGAAGCAGCAGUGGGGAAUCUUAGACAAUGGGGGAAACCCUGAUCUAGCCAUGCCGCGUGAGCGAUGAAGGCCUUAGGGUUGUAAAGCUCUUUCAGCUGGGAAGAUAAUGACGGUACCAGCAGAAGAAGCCCCGGCUAACUCCGUG